RNAcentral lists this ribosomal RNA (405 nucleotides) under uncultured bacterium. Its description in RNAcentral is "partial 16S ribosomal RNA". It matches the Rfam family "Bacterial small subunit ribosomal RNA", at positions 30 to 526 of the family's 1533-position model. The record is from RNAcentral.
AUUGAACGCUAGCGGGAUGCUUUACACAUGCAAGUCGAACGAGUGGCGGAAGGGUGAGUAAUAUAUGGGAACGUGCCCAGUAGAGGGGGAUAACUACUCGAAAGAGUGGCUAAUACCGCAUACUCUUGGAUCUGCCGAUAUGGGAUUAGCUAGUUGGUGGGGUAAAGGCUCACCAAGGCAACGAUCCGUAGCUGGUCUGAGAGGACGACCAGCCACACUGGACCUGCGACACGGCCCAGACUCCUACGGGAGGCAGCAGGGGGGAAUUUUGAACAAUGGGGGAAACCCUGAGCCAGCCAUCCCGCGUGUAUGAGAAGGCCUUCGUGUUGUAAAGUACUUUCCGCAGAGAUGCGGUAUCCGCAGAAGAAGCACCGGCUAACUACGUGCCAGCAGCCGCGGUAAUUC